AACGAACGCUGGCGGCAUGCCUAACACAUGCAAGUCGAACGAAGUCUUCGGACUUAGUGGCGCACGGGUGCGUAACGCGUGGGAAUCUGCCCUUGGGUUCGGAAUAACAGUGAGAAAUUACUGCUAAUACCGGAUGAUGACUUCGGUCCAAAGAUUUAUCGCCCAAGGAUGAGCCCGCGUAAGAUUAGCUAGUUGGUGAGGUAAAGGCUCACCAAGGCGACGAUCUUUAGCUGGUCUGAGAGGAUGAUCAGCCACACUGGGACUGAGACACGGCCCAGACUCCUACGGGAGGCAGCAGUGGGGAAUAUUGGACAAUGGGCGAAAGGACCUGAUCCAGCAAUGCCGCGUGAGUGAUGAAGGCCUUAGGGUUGUAAAGACUCUUUACUGGGGAUGAUAAUGACAGUACCCAGAGAAUAAGACUCCGG
RNAcentral lists this ribosomal RNA (425 nucleotides) under uncultured bacterium. Its description in RNAcentral is "bacterial SSU rRNA". It matches the Rfam family "Bacterial small subunit ribosomal RNA", at positions 29 to 497 of the family's 1533-position model. The record is from RNAcentral.